RNAcentral lists this long non-coding RNA (725 nucleotides) under Olea europaea subsp. europaea. Lineage: Eukaryota; Viridiplantae; Streptophyta; Magnoliopsida; Lamiales; Oleaceae. The record is from RNAcentral.
CUGAUUUUUACAACUUUUCUCUGAUAGAACAUCAUAGGUUAAGAAAGAUUACCAGGAGAGACGAGCAUCCAUUUGGCGACUGAUCAAGGUAUCAAGCCAAAUUGGAAAGGAGCCGAAUAAGACUUCAAACCUAGCCUCCUUCAGCUACUGAAAACUGACCUCUUCUUUGCUUCUUUUGUUCUUCCCUAAUGAAGCAGAAGAUCAUAAUAAAACAAAAGAAUACACUAUAUCACUGGACUGAACAAGCCAUUCAAUAAGCUUAUCUCCCAACUCAGUUGUCAAAGAAGAAAAACAAAUAAUUUUCAGAUUGUUUCACAUUAUAUUCUUAACAAGAAUUGUAAAAGAUAAAACUUAAACUCCAGUUGACAAAAAUGGAAAAAUACAAUGAGAAUAAUAAAUGGAAGAGGACAAUAACAGUAAUAAUGUCAAUUGUCCUCAGAUAUGAAUUUCAUGAUAUCACCAUGAAAACUGGAAUUCAACGGCCUAUUUUUUCUUAUUACAUAUUUCCUCCCCAAUUCUAUACUAUACUCACUCAAACCCUCCUUCCCACAUUUAUUCCACAUGGCCUCACCAAAUCUCCGAUGCGCAAAGUAUGCAUCCACUUCCACCGCCACCACCUUAUCUCUUCCGUCCCCGGCCGUCACCUCCACAGGCAGCCUCUCGUAAUGUCCAUCAUCAACUCUCUCCAGCUCGUCCAGCCGAGCCAGGCCCCGAUUCGACGACAC